Molecule: ribosomal RNA, 572 nt
Filed under: uncultured Glomeromycotina
Lineage: Eukaryota; Fungi; Glomeromycota
Description: SSU rRNA
Rfam family: Eukaryotic small subunit ribosomal RNA
Source: RNAcentral
UUGGAGGGCAAGUCUGGUGCCAGCAGCCGCGGUAAUUCCAGCUCCAAUAGCGUAUAUUAAAGUUGUUGCAGUUAAAAAGCUCGUAGUUGAAUUUCGGGAUUGACGUGAUGGUCAUGCCUUAAGGGGUAUGAACUGUUGCAGUUGAUUUCUCACCUUCUGGAGAAACUUGAUGUCCUUUAUUGGGUGUCUUGCGGAUCCAGGACCUUUACCUUGAAAAAAUUAGAGUGUUUAAAGCAGGCAUUUUUGCUCGAAUACAUUAGCAUGGAAUAAUAGAAUAGGACGGCAUGGUUCUAUUUUGUUGGUUUCUAGGAUCACCGUAAUGAUUAAUAGGGAUAGUUGGGGGCAUUAGUAUUCAAUUGUCAGAGGUGAAAUUCUUGGAUUUAUUGAAGACUAACUACUGCGAAAGCAUUUGCCAAGGAUUUUUUCAUUAAUCAAGAACGAAAGUUAGGGGAUCGAAGACGAUCAGAUACCGUCGUAGUCUUAACCAUAAACUAUGCCGACUAGGAAUCAGACGAUGUUAAUUUUUUAAUGACUCGUUUGGCACCUUACGGGAAACCAAAGUGUUUGGGUUC